Molecule: ribosomal RNA, 428 nt
Filed under: uncultured organism
Description: bacterial SSU rRNA
Rfam family: Bacterial small subunit ribosomal RNA
Source: RNAcentral
UGGGGAAUAUUGGACAAUGGGGGCAACCCUGAUCCAGCCAUGCCGCGUGUGUGAAGAAGGCCUUCGGGUUGUAAAGCACUUUCAGCGAGGAAGAACGCCUAGUGGUUAAUACCCAUUAGGAAAGACAUCACUCGCAGAAGAAGCACCGGCUAACUCCGUGCCAGCAGCCGCGGUAAUACGGAGGGUGCAAGCGUUAAUCGGAAUUACUGGGCGUAAAGCGCGCGUAGGUGGCUUGAUAAGCCGGUUGUGAAAGCCCCGGGCUCAACCUGGGAACGGCAUCCGGAACUGUCAAGCUAGAGUGCAGGAGAGGAAGGUAGAAUUCCCGGUGUAGCGGUGAAAUGCGUAGAGAUCGGGAGGAAUACCAGUGGCGAAGGCGGCCUUCUGGACUGACACUGACACUGAGGUGCGAAAGCGUGGGUAGCAAACAG